UCUCUGGUAGUAUAGUGGUGAGUAUCCGCGCCUGUCACGUGCGAGACCGGGGUUCGAUUCCCCGCCAGAGAG
Parastrongyloides trichosuri is the source of this 72-nucleotide non-coding RNA. The record is from Rfam. Lineage: Eukaryota; Metazoa; Nematoda; Chromadorea; Rhabditida; Strongyloididae.